Molecule: transfer RNA, 91 nt
Filed under: Terriglobia bacterium
Lineage: Bacteria; Pseudomonadati; Acidobacteriota; Terriglobia
Description: tRNA-Leu
Rfam family: tRNA
About the family: Transfer RNA (tRNA) molecules are approximately 80 nucleotides in length. Their secondary structure includes four short double-helical elements and three loops (D, anti-codon, and T loops).
Source: RNAcentral
GCCGAUGUGGUGGAAUUUUGGCAGACACACCAGCUUGAGGGGCUGGCGGCCCGGAAGGGUCAUGUCGGUUCGAGUCCGACCAUCGGCACCA